This 406-nucleotide ribosomal RNA is filed under the name uncultured bacterium. Its description in RNAcentral is "partial 16S ribosomal RNA". It matches the Rfam family "Bacterial small subunit ribosomal RNA", at positions 29 to 526 of the family's 1533-position model. The record is from RNAcentral.
AUUGAACGCUGGCGGCAGGCCUAACACAUGCAAGUCGAACGAGUGGCGGACGGGUGAGGAAUGUCUGGGAAACUGCCCGAUGGACGGGGUAAACUACUGGAAACGGUAGCUAAUACCGCAUACCAGCGGAUGUGCCCAGAGGGGAGUAGCGAGUAGGUGGGGUAAAGGCUCACCUGGGCGACGAUCCCUAUAUGGUCUGAGCGGAUGACCCGCAACACUGGAACUGAGACACGGUCCAGACUCCUACGGUAGGCAGCAGUGGGGAAUAUUGCACAAUGGGCGCAGGCCUGAUGCAGCCAUGCCGCGUGUGUGAAGAAGGCCUUCGGGUUGUAAAGCACUUUCAGCGGGGAGGCGUUACCCGCAGAAGAAGCACCGGCUAACUCCGUGCCAGCAGCCGCGGUAAUUC